GACGAACGCUGGCGGCGUGCUUAACACAUGCAAGUCGAACGAAGAGCGAUGGAAGCUUGCUUCUACCCAUCUUAGUGACGGACGAGUGAGUAACGCGUAACCAACCUGUGCUUCUGGGGGGAACUACAGUAGCAAACGAUAGUUAAUACUGGAUACGACCUCAUCUUGGCAGCGAGGGGAGAUGAAAGGUGGUCUCGACAUGUAAGCUAUCAUUGCAGGAGGGGAUUGGGGCUGUUGAGUUAGAGUGGGGGGUAAGGGCCCAGCUUGGCGAGGAUUAGUAGCCGGUCUGCGAUGAUGAACGGCCAGCCUGGGACUGUGACACGGCCCAGUGUCCUAGGGGAGGCAGCAGGGGGGAAUCUGCCGCAAUGGGCGAAAGUCUGACGGAACAACGCCGCGGGAGUGAUGACGGCCGUCGGGUUGUAAAGCUCUGUUAUUCGGUACGAAAGGCCUUCUUGCUAAUAGUGAGAAGGAUUGACGGUACCGGAAUAGAAAGCCACGGCUAACUACGUG
This 510-nucleotide ribosomal RNA is filed under the name uncultured bacterium. Its description in RNAcentral is "partial 16S ribosomal RNA". It matches the Rfam family "Bacterial small subunit ribosomal RNA", at positions 28 to 507 of the family's 1533-position model. The record is from RNAcentral.